UAGUCGGAGGUGUGUCUCGGACGGUCGGUUCGCCGCUUGUCGGUGCUCAACUGGCUUCUCCGGACGUCCUGCCGGUGGGGCUGUAAAAGGCUCCGUUAUCCUUCUUUGGUCCUCUUCAUUGAGUGCCUUGGUGGGCCGGCACGUUUACUUUGAACAAAUUAGAGUGCUCAAAGCAGGCCGUUGGUCGCCUGAAUACUGUGUGCAUGGAAUAAUGGAAUAGGACCUCGGUUCCAUUUUGUUGGUUUUCAGAACUCGAGGUAAUGAUUAAUAGGGACGGACGGGGGCAUUCGUAUUGCGACGUUAGAGGUGAAAUUCUUGGAUCGUCGCAAGACGAACCGAUGCGAAAGCAUUUGCCAAGAACGUUUUCGUUGAUCAAGAACGAAAGUUAGAGGUUCGAAGGCGAUCAGAUACCGCCCUAGUUCUAACCAUAAACGAUGCCAGCUAGCCAUCCGCCGAAGUUCCUUAUAUGACUCGGCGGGCAGCUUCCGGGAAACCAAAGCUCUUGGGUUCCGGGGGAAGUAU
This 522-nucleotide ribosomal RNA is filed under the name Phyllogomphoides stigmatus. RNAcentral describes it as "SSU rRNA". It matches the Rfam family "Eukaryotic small subunit ribosomal RNA", at positions 631 to 1126 of the family's 1831-position model. The record is from RNAcentral. Lineage: Eukaryota; Metazoa; Arthropoda; Insecta; Odonata; Gomphidae.